This 320-nucleotide long non-coding RNA is filed under the name Medicago truncatula (barrel medic). Its description in RNAcentral is "lncRNA gene50702". The record is from RNAcentral. Lineage: Eukaryota; Viridiplantae; Streptophyta; Magnoliopsida; Fabales; Fabaceae.
CGGUUAACCACAUCUUAUUUUUCCUCGUACUUCUGACACGUCAUUUCUCAUGAGUUUUUCGAGUUUGGCCUUUCCUCUGCCCAGAAAGUAGCAGGCCUCACGGUGGCUGCUAAUCAACGAGUGGCUAGUUUGUUCGGUAACUUCGGGUACCUACUUCUCCGGUUUCCGCAUAGAAGUCCGUCAUCCUUGAAGUUUAGAACAUAUACAGCCUAUUCUUCCUAUCAAACAGCGGAUUCUAUGAUCCGCCUUUCGCCGGGUAUUGACUCUAUGGCUAUUAUAUUAAGGAGCGCGUCUUGCCGGGCAGUUAAUCGGAGCUCGCC